GAGAACUCACACAUCACACAACGAUCAGCAAGUCUUUCCUUCAACGCAGAAACUAGUUAAGAUGAGGACCACCCAGGUGUUGCUCCUGGCCCUCGCCUUGCUCAUGGUGGCGUCAGGCGUGGUAACGGAGGCUUCAAUGGACGGCAGCGCUAAGUUCAAGUACAGGUGUGGGUCAACCCUUAUCCCAUUACCAAAGCCAUGUAACGACGACACUUGUGAUAUGGCAUGCUUCAACCUUAUGAGGGUGCCCAAGCCAAGGCAAGUGUGAUGCUGUCGGGUGCAAGUGCACGAUGUGCGAACCACUGUAAUGAACAAAUGGGUAGCAGCAAGGUUGUUCACUGGUAAUCGGCGUAUAAAUAAUGAUGCGUUUGGCCUAGCUUCUUGAACUAUAUAAAAUUAUGAAGCUAUGCUACA
Triticum aestivum (bread wheat) is the source of this 414-nucleotide long non-coding RNA. RefSeq lists it as uncharacterized. The transcript has 2 exons. Lineage: Eukaryota; Viridiplantae; Streptophyta; Magnoliopsida; Poales; Poaceae. The record is from RefSeq and is a predicted model, not a curated record.